UCUGUCCGAGCGUCGGCUUAUAAACUAUCACUGCGCGUAAAAAGCAGUGGCUUGGAAGAUUGCCAGCUAACGCAGGCCGUGUAGUGUAAGGCGGUGGCGGCGGCGUUAGACAGCGAUGGCUUCUUCUUAAUGUGGCUUAGACGGCGGUGGCGGCGGCGGCGGCGAUGACGCUGUGCUCACGGUAGCAUUGCCGGUUGCCAGGCGAUGCGAGUUUGUGUGUUCGUUCCACCACCACCACCACCAAAUGUUGUGGAGUGCUGUUGAUGGUGUCAGUGGUGGAGCGCCGCUUGGCUUGGCAACGAUGAGUCCACAAGCCGUGGCUUAGUGUUUGUGCGUGCACGUAAUGUGGGCUCUAGACGGCAGGUAGGCGUGCGACGUGAUGUUGUUGGUCGUCGUCGUCGUUGUUGGUGCUGCUGCUGCUGCUGCUGCAGCUGCUUUGAUGUGGCCUAAUGUGUGCCUGACCUCGGUUCAGUCGUGAG
This 479-nucleotide ribosomal RNA is filed under the name Mesocestoides sp. A KP-2005. RNAcentral describes it as "partial ribosomal RNA". Lineage: Eukaryota; Metazoa; Platyhelminthes; Cestoda; Cyclophyllidea; Mesocestoididae. The record is from RNAcentral.